GGGCACAUGUGUCUGGAGCUGUAAGAGAAAGCCAUACUGUUAGAGGAAUUGAGCAGUACAAACCAUUUCAGGCGCAAGGAAGGAGGCCCUGAGGUAUUGGUGAAGUAGAUAUUGAGGAAGUGGAGGCUGCUGUGGUUGCCUUCCGAAUUCCUUCUCCAGAGAGGCAGGAACAGUUAACAAGAGUCCGGUUACUCAGCAACGAAGACCAGCGUUACUUAUCUGGAGAACAGAACUUGCCCCCACAUGCCAGCGACAUGCUUUUAUUCAGUGGAGCCUUCCCAGAGGAAAAGACUUGUGAGCUCAUCUAGUGUUUCCCCCGCCAAUGCUUUGUGCUAGAUUUUGUUUUCCUUUCUCAAUAGACAAAGCAACUCCAGCUUUCUUGGGACCAGUGGGGCUGCAAAGAUUUGUUUCAUAAAACUAGGCGAUGUCUUGAAUUAUGCUGCACAAAUCAGUCAUCACUCAGGAACCCCAGAAAGAGGGAUGGGAUCCAAACUGACCUGAACCUCGCUGUGAACCUCUCCAUACUUCUCCAUGUUGGCUGGGACUGGAAGUUCCAAGAUGCAGACUAUUUCUGGCCUCUCUGAAACCAGAAAAUCCAGGAAGUCUCACCCAAAAGGGGGAUCUCCUGAGAUUGGCAACCCCAGCAUGCUGGCUAAGUGCUGGAACUGCUGGCUGGUUAAUAGCAUGUGUUUGUCAAGUGCUUUGGAAAGGAAAUCUAAAGCGCAGGGUAUUUGUUUUUUAUUGAGUUGUGAAAAGUAUUGUACAAAGGCUAAAACAGCACUGGAUCCUGCUCCAAUCCUAGGUCUCCACCAGCACCGCACUCCACAGGCCCCCAGAAGAGCCCCUCCCAAACACAGCUCAUGCCUCUCCCAGCCAUGCCUUUGGUAGAAGCCUGAGCAAUGGCCCCGGCAAUGCGUUCUGAAGACCAAGACUCCUAGGUUCUGACAGAUAAGCAGGAGAAGCAAAUUCGAACCCAGCUGCCCUCAGCCCCCUCCUGUUUAAAUCUGGAGAACAUCACCUCAUAUCUCUAGAGAACGUGCCUCAUCCGGGAUCUGCCAUGGGGAAAUGCCUCCCCUUCCUACCCAGCCCCUCCCCCAUCCUUCCUUCUCCAGCACCCUGGCAACUCAGCCAUCCUCCCUGUCCUGCACACAUUAGCAUGUCCACUAAACCCUGCAGAAUCAGCUCCA
Long non-coding RNA from Dermochelys coriacea (leatherback sea turtle), 1187 nucleotides. RefSeq lists it as uncharacterized. The transcript has 2 exons. The record is from RefSeq and is a predicted model, not a curated record. NCBI's taxonomy places the organism in Eukaryota, Metazoa, Chordata, Testudines, Dermochelyidae.